This 207-nucleotide ribosomal RNA is filed under the name uncultured bacterium. RNAcentral describes it as "partial 16S ribosomal RNA". It matches the Rfam family "Bacterial small subunit ribosomal RNA", at positions 568 to 774 of the family's 1533-position model. The record is from RNAcentral.
UGCGUAGGUGGCGCUGUAAGUCAGGUGUGAAAUUUCGGAGCUUAACUCCGAAACUGCAUUUGAUACUGCGGUGCUUGAGGACUGGAGAGGAGAUUGGAAUUCACGGUGUAGCAGUGAAAUGCGUAGAGAUCGUGAGGAAGACCAGUGGCGAAGGCGGGUCUCUGGACAGUUCCUGACACUGAGGCACGAAGGCCAGGGGAGCAAACG